RNAcentral lists this ribosomal RNA (425 nucleotides) under uncultured bacterium. Its description in RNAcentral is "bacterial SSU rRNA". It matches the Rfam family "Bacterial small subunit ribosomal RNA", at positions 355 to 772 of the family's 1533-position model. The record is from RNAcentral.
UGGGGAAUAUUGGACAAUGGGCGGAAGCCUGAUCCAGCAAUGCCGCGUGUGUGAAGAAGGCCUGAGGAUUGUAAAGCACUUUCAGUGGGGAGAAAGAGGCCAUUGCUAAUACCAAUGGUGGAUGAUAUUACCCACAGAAGAAGCACCGGCUAACUCUGUGCCAGCAGCCGCGGUAAUACAGAGGGUGCGAGCGUUAAUCGGAAUUACUGGGCGUAAAGGGUGCGUAGGUGGUUUUAUAAGUCAGAUGUGAAAUUCCCGGGCUUAACCUGGGGACUGCGUCUGAUACUGUGAAGCUAGAGUACUGUAGAGGAAAGUGGAAUUUCCGGUGUAGCAGUGAAAUGCGUAGAUAUCGGAAGGAACAUCAGUGGCGAAGGCGACUUUCUGGACAGAUACUGACACUGAGGCGCGAAAGCGUGGGGAGCAAA